This 201-nucleotide unclassified non-coding RNA is filed under the name soil metagenome. RNAcentral's name for it is "partial contains 5.8S ribosomal RNA, internal transcribed spacer 2, and large subunit ribosomal RNA". The record is from RNAcentral.
AAGACUAUAGACCUGCGGAGUACCUGCGGAAGGAUCAUUAACGAUUUCGGUGUAAAAAACCGUUUUCUACCUAUGUCUACGCGUACCACUUGUUUCCUCGGGGGGCUUGCCCCCCGCUAGGACCCUUUAUCAAACCUUUUUGUAAUAGCAGUCAGCGUCUGAUACUACGUUAAUUAUUAAAACUUUCAACAACGGAUCUCU